This is a non-coding RNA of Chiloscyllium plagiosum (whitespotted bambooshark), 324 nucleotides long. The record is from RefSeq and is a predicted model, not a curated record. NCBI's taxonomy places the organism in Eukaryota, Metazoa, Chordata, Chondrichthyes, Orectolobiformes, Hemiscylliidae.
CCAGCACAGAAGUUGCCCUUUGGCCCGUUGAGUCUGGACUGAGUAUAUCACCUGUGGAGAGAGAAAGUGCUGAGCUGAGUUUGGCUCAAUAUGCCAUCGGACCAAGAUGCAGAGACUGCUAGCAAACUCCUGCAUAGCAAGACGCCAGCAUCCCCCUCCAUUUGCUCCCAAGGUCAGCAGGAGUUCAGGACUAGAGCUAAGAAUCCAAGACCAACUUUCUUCAAAAAUGUAAGUGUGCCAGAUCCCAGGCUCUCAGCUCAAGAGGGUGUGUUGGUGGAGAAACCAGGAGUGUUUCAACGACAAAACUCCGUCUCAAAAACCAUC